This 253-nucleotide ribosomal RNA is filed under the name uncultured bacterium. RNAcentral describes it as "partial 16S ribosomal RNA". It matches the Rfam family "Bacterial small subunit ribosomal RNA", at positions 524 to 776 of the family's 1533-position model. The record is from RNAcentral.
GACGAACCGUGCGAACGUUGUUCGGAAUCACUGGGCUUAAAGGGCGCGUAGGCGGGCUAUCAAGUCUGGGGUGAAAUCCCACGGCUCAACCGUGGAACUGCCUUAGAUACUGACGGCCUUGAGGAAGGUAGGGGCAUGCGGAACUGUAGGUGGAGCGGUGAAAUGCGUUGAUAUCUACAGGAACUCCGGUGGCGAAAGCGGCGUGCUGGACCUUUUCUGACGCUGAGGCGCGAAAGCUAGGGGAGCAAACGGG